This 783-nucleotide ribosomal RNA is filed under the name Cardicola opisthorchis. RNAcentral describes it as "eukaryotic LSU rRNA". It matches the Rfam family "Eukaryotic large subunit ribosomal RNA", at positions 1 to 606 of the family's 3401-position model. Lineage: Eukaryota; Metazoa; Platyhelminthes; Trematoda; Strigeidida; Aporocotylidae. The record is from RNAcentral.
UAGCUUAAUACUCCAUGUGGUUUGUCGAAUGUGAAGUGUCGAUUGAUGUUUUGAUACUUGUUGCCUAACCUCGGAUCAGACGUGAAUACCCGCUGAACUUAAGCAUAUCACUAAGCGGAGGAAAAGAAACUAACCAGGAUUCCCUCAGUAACGGCGAGUGAACAGGGAUUAGCCCAGCACCGAAGCCUGCGGUCAUUUGGCUGUUAGGCAAUGUGGUGUUUAGAUUGGUUUUUGGCAUUUCUGCUUCAUCCUAAGUCCAUCAAUGAGUACGGCUAAUGGACCGGCCCAAAGAGGGUGAAAGGCCCGUGUGGAUGAAGAUCAAGUGGGACAGAAGUGCUUUGAACUGAUCUUGGAGUCGGGUUGUUUGUGAAUGCAGCCCAAAGUGGGUGGUAGACUCCAUCCAAGGCUAAAUACUGGCACGAAUCCGAUAGCAAACAAGUACCGUGAGGGAAAGUUGAAAAGUACUUUGAAGAGAGAGUAAACAGUGCGUGAAACCGCUCAGAGGUAAACGGGUGGAGUUGAACUGGAAUCCCUGGGAAUUUAACUGAUGAGUAUGGCAUGCGCUUGGGCAUGUUGGCCAGCAUCGAGGGUUUGCUUAAUUGCAGGCCUUGGCUCUUCGGAGUCUGGGUACACGUUGCACUUGUCAGGUGUUGUGUGCUUUGGUUGCAUUGGGCUUGCUUGUCAGUGCAUUUUCUCGGGGUGAUCACCACGACCGGCGUUGUUGUCUGUUUGCUGCGGUUAAACCGAUCAGAUUUGGUCUUGUUGGCUGGGUUUGGUCGGGAC